UGAACGCUGGCGGCGUGCCUAAUACAUGCAAAUCGAGCGACCAGACGAGGAGCUUGCUCCUCUGACGUUAGCGGCGGACGGGUGAGUAACACGUGGAUAACCUACCUAUAAGACUGGGAUAACUUCGGGAAACCGGAGCUAAUACCGGAUAAUAUAUUGAACCGCAUGGUUCAAUAGUGAAAGACGGUUUUGCUGUCACUUAUAGAUGGAUCCGCGCCGCAUUAGCUAGUUGGUAAGGUAACGGCUUACCAAGGCAACGAUGCGUAGCCGACCUGAGAGGGUGAUCGGCCACACUGGAACUGAGACACGGUCCAGACUCCUACGGGAGGCAGCAGUAGGGAAUCUUCCGCAAUGGGCGAAAGCCUGACGGAGCAACGCCGCGUGAGUGAUGAAGGUCUUCGGAUCGUAAAACUCUGUUAUUAGGGAAGAACAAAUGUGUAAGUAACUAUGCACGUCUUGACGGUACCUAAUCAGAAAGCCACGGCUAACUACGUG
Molecule: ribosomal RNA, 495 nt
Filed under: uncultured bacterium
Lineage: Bacteria
Description: partial 16S ribosomal RNA
Rfam family: Bacterial small subunit ribosomal RNA
Source: RNAcentral